AUGAAAGCAAGUGGGAAAAAAGCUUCACACGGUGCCAAGAAGCCAUCACCCAAAAUUAAAAAGACACCUCCAAGAGUUAAAAAGCCAAGAGCUCAAUGGAACCCAGCUUUGGAAAAGGGUUUAGUAGAGAUACUUCAGGAGCACAACACUCCGUACCAUAGGGGACAGAAUGGUUGGUCAACUGAAGCAUGGAAUAGGAUGGAAGAUUUAUUUCAUGAAAGAUAUGGACACACUAAUUUUACAAAGCUACAGAUUCAAGAAAAACAGAAAGACUUGAAAGCUCAAUACAGACUUCUUAAGGAUGCCCGCAAACAGAGAGGUGUCAGCUGGAACUAUCAUACACACAUGAUAGAUGCUGACGCACAUCUUUGGCAAAACUUGAUGACUUCGUGGCCAGAAAUAGCUAAGUUCCAGAAUAAGCCCUUUCCCCUCUACGAUAAGCUUGGUGAUCUGUAUGAUGGGCAUAUAGCAGAAGGUAACUUCAAUUUCACAUCAACUGAGGUUACAGAAGUGAGUGAUGGUGAUCUCGAAGUUGAAAGAGAGAAGACUGCUUUCUCUUUUGACCUGAAUCAAUACGGUGAUGAUUUACACAUGUAUGAUGAUCCAAGAGAUGCCGCCCCAAGUGAUGGUCCAAGUGAUGCUGCCCCAAGUGAUGGUCCCAGAGAUGCUGUCCCAAGUGAUGGUCCAAGAGGUGCUGCCCCAAGUGAUGGUUCAAGAGAUGCCACACAAAGAGGUGGUGUUGCUACUUCAAAUAACAAGCAUGUGAAGGAAUCAAAGAAGGGUAAGAAGCGUGAUGAUCCUAUGGUGGAAGUGAUGUCACAAUAUGUGGAGAUCAAACGGAAGCAAGCGGAGGAGGAGUCUGCUCUAUUGGCCGGGGCAAAAAAUGCCCAAGAAUUCUCCAUCAGCAAGUGCAUUGCUGUUUUGCACAAGAUGGAAAGUAUCCACCGCGAUGAAAGAGCCACUGCCUACAAAGUGUUCAAAAGUGUUGAGAACCGUGAGAUCUUUCUUAAUUCUGCCGCUGAAGAUGAAGAAAGUGCUGCAGUGUUUCUUCGGAGCGAAAUGGCAGAGUUGACUCAACGUAUCUAA
RNAcentral lists this ribosomal RNA (1086 nucleotides) under Triticum aestivum (bread wheat). RNAcentral's name for it is "partial small subunit ribosomal RNA". Lineage: Eukaryota; Viridiplantae; Streptophyta; Magnoliopsida; Poales; Poaceae. The record is from RNAcentral.